UGGGGAAUCUUGCGCAAGGGGCGAAAGCCUGACCCAGCAACGCCGCGUGAAGGAUGAAGUAUUUCGGUAUGUAAACUUCGAAAGAAUAGGAAGAAUAAAUGACGGUACUAUUUAUAAGGUCCGGCUAACUACGUGCCAGCAGCCGCGGUAAUACGUAGGGACCAAGCGUUGUUCGGAUUUACUGGGCGUAAAGGGCGCGUAGGCGGCAUGACAAGUCACUUGUGAAAUCUCUGGGCUUAACCCAGAACGGCCAAGUGAUACUGUCGCGCUAGAGUGCAGAAGGGGCAAUCGGAAUUCUUGGUGUAGCGGUGAAAUGCGUAGAUAUCAAGAGGAACACCUGAGGUGAAGACGGGUUGCUGGGCUGACACUGACGCUGAGGCGCGAAAGCCAGGGGAGCAAACGGGAUUAGAUACCCUAGUAGUCCCUGAGCGGGCUGGCAAGGCGCAU
This 447-nucleotide ribosomal RNA is filed under the name uncultured bacterium. RNAcentral describes it as "bacterial SSU rRNA". It matches the Rfam family "Bacterial small subunit ribosomal RNA", at positions 355 to 825 of the family's 1533-position model. The record is from RNAcentral.